GCUCAACAGUGUGGAAACAAAAUUUUUAUAUGUUGUCUCUACCACAUUUUCAAAUUUCUAGUUUCCCAAAAAAAAAAAGGGAAAUUCAACAAAGCUUCAUCAAUGGAGGACAACUACAAAAUCUCAAAAGCUUCACACUAUCUUGAUCAAGAUAGUGUGAAGCAAAAUCAAUUCAUGGUACCCAACAAAAGCUUCACCAAAAAAAGCUUCAACUCCAAAGCUUCACCAACAAAAGCUUCAUCAAUGGAGGACAACUACAAAUUCUCAAAA
RNAcentral lists this long non-coding RNA (270 nucleotides) under Malus domestica (apple). RNAcentral's name for it is "long non-coding RNA (MDOM_LNC008713)". The record is from RNAcentral. Lineage: Eukaryota; Viridiplantae; Streptophyta; Magnoliopsida; Rosales; Rosaceae.